This 77-nucleotide transfer RNA is filed under the name Candidatus Kerfeldbacteria bacterium CG08_land_8_20_14_0_20_40_16. RNAcentral describes it as "tRNA-Pro". It matches the Rfam family "tRNA". Rfam says of the family: Transfer RNA (tRNA) molecules are approximately 80 nucleotides in length. Their secondary structure includes four short double-helical elements and three loops (D, anti-codon, and T loops). Further hydrogen bonds mediate the characteristic L-shaped molecular structure. tRNAs have two regions of fundamental functional importance: the anti-codon, which is responsible for specific mRNA codon recognition, and the 3' end, to which the tRNAs corresponding amino acid is attached (by aminoacyl-tRNA synthetases). tRNAs cope with the degeneracy of the genetic code in two manners: having more than one tRNA (with a specific anti-codon) for a particular amino acid; and 'wobble' base-pairing, i.e. permitting non-standard base-pairing at the 3rd anti-codon position. Lineage: Bacteria; Candidatus Kerfeldiibacteriota. The record is from RNAcentral.
CGGGGAUUGGCGCAGUUGGCUAGCGCGCAUGCAUGGGGUGCAUGAGGCCGCCGGUUCAAGUCCGGCAUCCCCGACCA